Peromyscus eremicus (cactus mouse) is the source of this 415-nucleotide long non-coding RNA. RefSeq lists it as uncharacterized. Lineage: Eukaryota; Metazoa; Chordata; Mammalia; Rodentia; Cricetidae. The transcript is spliced from 2 exons. The record is from RefSeq and is a predicted model, not a curated record.
CAGGGACUCAGGGAGUCUCAGGGGAAUGGGGCCUCACUAGGCUUCCAGUCUCACUCUCUCCCCUACAGGCCUCUUCUCCACAAUGGUGGCAGUGACAGUAUCAAGUCUGCAAAGAAGGAGGCGAGGAAAAGAGGAAAAAGUGAGUUGGGACCAGAGGACUAUUCCUCAAACAAGAAACUCAAGUCAGUUUCUGGUCUCCCUCUGUGACUGUGGAGGCAAAGAUAAAAGGAAAAGGCUUUCAGAAUACCAUUAAGAUAUGAAUCUUCAAACCGUGACUGCUUCUAAAUCUUGCAGAGCCUGACGGAGAAAGAAAGGGAUUCCCCUGGACUUGGAAGCCAAGCUCUCUUCAUAUAUCCUGAACACUUUUAUCUCCCUAUGUUUAAGGAAAAUGUAACUUUCUUAUCCUUUGAAAUCA